CCUACGGGAGGCAGCAGUGGGGAGUAUUGGACAAUGGGGGCAACCCUGAUCCAGCAAUGCCGCGUGAGUGAUGAAGGCCUUAGGGUUGUAAAGCUCUUUCGACGGGGAUGCGGUACCCGUAGAAGAAGCCCCGGCUAACUUCGUGCCAGCAGCCGCGGUAAUACGAAGGGGGCUAGCGUUGUUCGGAUUUACUGGGCGUAAAGGGCGCGUAGGCGGUGCAAUAAGUCAGGCGUGAAAGCCCCGGGCUCAACCCGGGAAUUGCGCUUGAUACUGUUGCGCUUGAAUCCAGGAGAGGAUGGCGGAAUUCCCAGUGUAGAGGUGAAAUUCGUAGAUAUUGGGAAGAACACCAGUGGCGAAGGCGGCCAUCUGGCCUGGAUUGACGCUGAGGCGCGAAAGCGUGGGGAGCAAACAGGAUUAGAUACCCUUGUAGUC
This 432-nucleotide ribosomal RNA is filed under the name uncultured bacterium. Its description in RNAcentral is "partial 16S ribosomal RNA". It matches the Rfam family "Bacterial small subunit ribosomal RNA", at positions 338 to 795 of the family's 1533-position model. The record is from RNAcentral.